This 405-nucleotide ribosomal RNA is filed under the name uncultured fungus. RNAcentral's name for it is "partial small subunit ribosomal RNA". It matches the Rfam family "Eukaryotic small subunit ribosomal RNA", at positions 30 to 432 of the family's 1831-position model. The record is from RNAcentral. Lineage: Eukaryota; Fungi.
GCUUGUCUCAAAGAUUAAGCCAUGCAUGUGUAAGUAUAAACGAUCUAUACUGUGAAACUGCGAAUGGCUCAUUAUAUCAGUUAUAGUUUAUUUGAUAAUACUUUACUACUUGGAUAACCGUAGUAAUUCUAGAGCUAAUACAUGCGUAAAAUCCUGACUUUCUUGGAAGGGAUGUAUAUAUUAGAUCAAAACCAAACGGCUUCGGCCGUCUCAUUGGUGACUCUGAAUAACUUUGGGCUGAUCGUAUGGCCUUGUGCCGACGACGUUUCCUUCGAAGGUGUGCCCUAUCAACUGUCGACUGUGAUAUAGACGCUCACAGUGGUUUUGACGGGUAACGGGGAAUCAGGGUUCGAUUCCGGAGAGGGAGCCUUAAAAACGGCUACCACAUCCAAGGAAGGCAGCAGG